Molecule: ribosomal RNA, 459 nt
Filed under: uncultured bacterium
Lineage: Bacteria
Description: partial 16S ribosomal RNA
Rfam family: Bacterial small subunit ribosomal RNA
Source: RNAcentral
CCUACGGGUGGCAGCAGUGAGGAAUAUUGGUCAAUGGGCGCGAGCCUGAACCAGCCAAGUCGCGUGAGGGAAGACGGUCCUAUGGAUUGUAAACCUCUUUUGUCGGGGAGCAAAAGACGCCACGCGUGGCGUUCCGAGAGUACCCGAAGACAAAGCAUCGGCGAACGCCGUGCCAGCAGCCGCGGUAAAACGGCGGAUGCGAGCGUUAUCCGGAUAUAUUGGGUUUAAAGGGUGCGCAGGCGGAAGAUCAAGUCAGCGGUAAAAUUGAGAGGCUCAACCUCUUCGAGCCGUUGAAACUGGUUUUCUGGAGUGAGCGAGAAGUAUGCGGAAUGCGUGGUGUAGCGGUGAAAUGCAUAGAUAUCACGCAGAACUCCGAUUGCGAAGGCAGCAUACCGGCGCUCAACUGACGCUCAUGCACGAAAGUGUGGGUAUCGAACAGGAUUAGAUACCCUAGUAGUC